AAGAGAAUCAACUCACUGUCAGUACUGAGAAGGGAUUUGGGUGUAGGGGCACCUGGCCUCCGGGAGCCAUUGGGCUGUAGACUGGUGUCGGUAUCCAUUUGGUGGUUGGUUUUUAACCCAAACUCAGUGCAUUUUUUAAAAAUAGUUUAAAACACAGGACAAGAACACUUGAACACACAGAACGGAGACUAUGCCUAGUGUAGGUUUUGCAGUUAAUGGCCUGAAUGCUAGUUAUCAGAUCACCUGUUUCCCUGUGGGGACAGGAGAGAAGGUGACGAACAAACCACCAUCCGCUGCAUGGUCACAGUAGAGCCCCCGUGACUCGCCUGUCUUUGGGUCACCUGCAUUCCAUAGCAUUGUGCUUGUACUUGUGCUCACAUGGUCACCUAGGGGUAGGCUGGGAGCCAUUGUGGGGUGCAGGGCCUGGCUUGUACUUGGUGUGUGGCCAGGCCCAAUGGCAGCCUACAUACCCAGCUUACUCUUGGGCCCACUUGGACGCACUGGCAGGAGGCCUGGGUCUCACCAGCAGGAGUGCGUGCAAGGUGGGAGGGUCGGUCCAUUACAGACCCACAUCCUGGAGCACCCCCAUCUCCAUGUGUGAAGUAGCUUCCUCCCUCAGCCUGCAAGGGUCCGAUUUGCCAUCGAAAGACGACCUCUACUUUUUUCUUUUGUAUUUUGAUAAACACUGAAGAAGCUGGAGCUGUUAAAUUUAUCUUGGGGAAAUCUCAGAACUGGUUUAUUUGGUGUCGUGGAACCUCUUACUGCUUUCAAUACACAAUUAGUAAUCAACUGUUUUGUAUACUUGUUUUCAGUUUUCAUUUCGACAAGCACUGUAAUUAUAGCUGUUAGAAUAAAG
This 856-nucleotide long non-coding RNA is filed under the name Androctonus crassicauda. Lineage: Eukaryota; Metazoa; Arthropoda; Arachnida; Scorpiones; Buthidae. The record is from RNAcentral.